CCUACGGGCGGCAGCAGUGAGGCAUAUUGGUCAAUGGGCGUAAGCCUGAACCAGCCAAGUCGCGUGAGGGAUGAAGGUUCUAUGGAUCGUAAACCUCUUUUAUAAGGGAAUAAAGUGUGGGACGUGUCCUGUUUUGUAUGUACCUUAUGAAUAAGGAUCGGCUAACUCCGUGCCAGCAGCCGCGGUAAUACGGAGGAUCCGAGCGUUAUCCGGAUUUAUUGGGUUUAAAGGGUGCGUAGGCGGCCGUUUAAGUCAGCGGUGAAAGUCUGUGGCUCAACCAUAGACUUGCCGUUGAAACUGGGAGGCUUGAGUAUGUUUGAGGCAGGCGGAAUGCGUGGUGUAGCGGUGAAAUGCUUAGAUAUCACGCAGAACCCCGAUUGCGAAGGCAGCCUGCCAAGCCAUGACUGACGCUGAUGCACGAAAGCGUGGGGAUCAAACAGGAUUAGAUACCCCAGUAGUC
RNAcentral lists this ribosomal RNA (460 nucleotides) under uncultured bacterium. RNAcentral describes it as "partial 16S ribosomal RNA". It matches the Rfam family "Bacterial small subunit ribosomal RNA", at positions 338 to 795 of the family's 1533-position model. The record is from RNAcentral.